GACAAUGAUCUUUCUGAAUUUGAUGAAUCGAGGGAUAUAAUUGAAAGUUUGGUUGAUGAAUACAAGGCUUGCGAGUCACCGGAUUAUAUCAAAUGGGGAGUGGAGGAUCCUGGGCAUAGUUUAACUGGAGAAGGAAAUGUCUCGGGAACACUGGAUCCAAAUUUGGCUGUGUAAAUGAAAUAAGUAAAGCCUCAAUUAUGUAGUCUUCUCAGGAUACCACAUAAAUAUUAGGUCUACUCUGGAGAGAGUAUUGUAAAUUUUUCUUUUUAAUAACCAUAUGUAUUUUAGUAUUUGAGUUGU
Long non-coding RNA from Hibiscus syriacus, 300 nucleotides. RefSeq lists it as uncharacterized. The transcript has 3 exons. The record is from RefSeq and is a predicted model, not a curated record. NCBI's taxonomy places the organism in Eukaryota, Viridiplantae, Streptophyta, Magnoliopsida, Malvales, Malvaceae.